RNAcentral lists this ribosomal RNA (398 nucleotides) under uncultured bacterium. RNAcentral's name for it is "bacterial SSU rRNA". It matches the Rfam family "Bacterial small subunit ribosomal RNA", at positions 29 to 423 of the family's 1533-position model. The record is from RNAcentral.
AAUGAACGUUGGCGGCGUGGAUUAGGCAUGCAAGUCGAGCGAGAAUCUGAUUGUUGAAGCUUCGGUGGAUUCAAUCAGAGGACAGCGGCAAACGGCGUAGUAAUGCGUAGGUACGUACCCUCAGGUCGGGGAUAGCCACGGGAAACUGUGGGUAAUACCCGAUAAUGUCUGUGGACCAAAGGUGUGAUUCCGUCUGAGGAGCGGCUUACGUGAUAUUAGCUAGUUGGUGGGGUAAUGGCCUACCAAGGCGACGAUGUCUCGGGGGUGUGAGAGCAUGGCCCCCACGACCGGAACUGAGACACUGUCCGGACACCUACGGGUGGCUGCAGUCGAGAAUCUUCCGCAAUGGGCGAAAGCCUGACGGAGCGACGCCGCGUGCGGGAUGAAGGCCCUUGGGU